Molecule: non-coding RNA, 74 nt
Organism: Caenorhabditis elegans
Lineage: Eukaryota; Metazoa; Nematoda; Chromadorea; Rhabditida; Rhabditidae
Source: Ensembl
CGGGCGGGCAAUGGCCAGUCUCUUCCUCCUUUCUCCUUCCUUUCUUCUCCUCUUUCUUCUUUUUUCUUCUUCUC